Molecule: transfer RNA, 89 nt
Filed under: Bombardia bombarda
Lineage: Eukaryota; Fungi; Ascomycota; Sordariomycetes; Sordariales; Lasiosphaeriaceae
Rfam family: tRNA
About the family: Transfer RNA (tRNA) molecules are approximately 80 nucleotides in length.
Source: Rfam by way of RNAcentral
UCUUCCGUAGUAUAGUGGUCAGUAUAUGAGCUUGUCAUCCGUCAAGUUCGGCAUCGCUCGGGACCCGGGUUCAAUUCCCGGCGGGAGAG